This 268-nucleotide non-coding RNA is filed under the name Weissella paramesenteroides. RNAcentral describes it as "T-box sequence". It matches the Rfam family "T-box leader". Rfam says of the family: Uncharged tRNA acts as the effector for transcription antitermination of genes in the T-box leader family. T-boxes are found upstream of many aminoacyl-tRNA synthetase genes and some amino acid biosynthetic genes usually in Gram-positive bacteria. The anticodon of a specific tRNA base pairs to a specifier sequence within the T-box motif, and the NCCA acceptor tail of the tRNA base pairs to a conserved bulge in the T-box antiterminator hairpin. Lineage: Bacteria; Bacillati; Bacillota; Bacilli; Lactobacillales; Lactobacillaceae. The record is from RNAcentral.
AUAAACAAGUUGAUCAGGAAAGUAAAUUAACUGUGAUUCGCCUAGAGAGACAACAUUUGGUGGAAGUUGUUCGAAGACACAUUAAUUGAAAAUGGCCUGUGAUUGGCAUUAAUGAGUAGCAAGUCUAUAAAUUAAUGACGGAAUGGUCUACGUUAACAGACACACGAAUCGGCAAAGCAUCAUUUCGCUCACUGCCCGCUCGUUGCUAAGGUCUUAAUCAGUAAUGAUUAAGGUGAAGUAGAAUGGUAACACGAGACUCGUUUCUAUU